UAGGGAAUCUUNNNCAAUGGGGGCAACCCUGACCGAGCAACGCCGCGUGAGUGAAGAAGGUUUUCGGAUCGUAAAGCUCUGUUGUAAGUCAAGAACGAGUGUGAGAGUGGAAAGUUCACACUGUGACGGUAGCUUACCAGAAAGGGACGGCUAACUACGUGCCAGCAGCCGCGGUAAUACGUAGGUCCCGAGCGUUGUCCGGAUUUAUUGGGCGUAAAGCGAGCGCAGGCGGUUUGAUAAGUCUGAAGUUAAAGGCUGUGGCUCAACCAUAGUUCGCUUUGGAAACUGUCAAACUUGAGUGCAGAAGGGGAGAGUGGAAUUCCAUGUGUAGCGGUGAAAUGCGUAGAUAUAUGGAGGAACACCGGUGGCGAAAGCGGCUCUCUGGUCUGUAACUGACGCUGAGGCUCGAAAGCGUGGGGAGCGAACAGGAUUAGAUACCCUGGUAGUCCACGCCGUAAACGAUGAGUGCUAGGUGUUGGAUCCUUUCCGGGAUUCAGUGCCGCAGCUAACGCAUUAAGCACUCCGCCUGGGGAGUACGACCGCAAGGUUG
RNAcentral lists this ribosomal RNA (550 nucleotides) under uncultured bacterium. RNAcentral describes it as "bacterial SSU rRNA". It matches the Rfam family "Bacterial small subunit ribosomal RNA", at positions 355 to 896 of the family's 1533-position model. The record is from RNAcentral.